Mastomys coucha (southern multimammate mouse) is the source of this 243-nucleotide long non-coding RNA. RefSeq lists it as uncharacterized. The transcript has 3 exons. The record is from RefSeq and is a predicted model, not a curated record. Lineage: Eukaryota; Metazoa; Chordata; Mammalia; Rodentia; Muridae.
AGAAGGCCAUGGACAACUUCUAUGAACUAUUGGUGAGCUCAGAAGUCCAGGUGUGUGUUCUGUGAAGGCUGAUGGAUUAAUUGCUAGAUAGAUGGAAUCAAACUAAGGGAAAGGAAGCUCUGAGCUCUGCCCCAAAGGACAAAUCCUGAGGGUCCAGACUCCCACUGCGAUCCCACAGACAACAGAGGGCGGCAAAUGAAGGGUCGGUGAGGUGCGAAUAAACACAAGAGGCCUUCUGGGAAA